UUGCAGGUACCACACCUUUGGGUGUCAUGCUAUGCUCAUGAGUAUGAUGAAACAGAAAGGAAAUGCAACAUCUUAAAAACAUGGUAGGAAGUUUACCUUUGAUUUGAGCUGCUGGCCAUGCUUAACAGUCCGGUCUUCAACCGAGCUGAGUGAAUGAGAUUCAUUGACAUGGGGGGCCUUCUGAAACUUGAUUUUACUUAUAAAUGUCAUGUUUUUAUUGGUAAUGUAUCUUAUGUUUCAUGUUUCAUGAUAAGAUUUCAUUCACGAAUCGGAAAAUAGUUCUUUUGAUUUAGGAUUUGAAUCUCAAUUUGAUAAUCAUGCCAACAAUUGAAUGGAAUACAUAACAAUGGAAUUCACAACUAAUUAAUGUGUAUUUAAAUCUAAAUAAGGGGUGAUAACCUUUUUUUCUGCAUAGGGGGGAUGGGGAAUACAUGUCUUUUCUCUUUUUUAUUUGCAAAACAAAUUACCAAAUGUCGAUUUUCUUUAUUCACAAUGGCAGAUGUAAUUUUCAACAAGGAAGAAGAUGUCAUUUCUCCGGAAAAUGAUGUCAUUGAUGGUCCGCUGUGUUUCUAUGAUGUGCUUGCUGAUUACUUUGUACAUGUGCCUGAAAGUGGGAAGCCCGUCCUUGACUUGAUUGUCCAACUUUGGAGCCAGUCAUUUGCUUCACAUAUUUUUAGCCUCUUGUUUCACAAAUGGGUAUGUAAGCUUGUCUCUGCCAUAUUGUCUUUUGCUCUCUUGAGGGAAGUUUUACUUAGCUUGAUAGUAUUAGUAUGGUCAUCCAUUACUGGUUUUGAAUUUGAACAUUUACAAUUCUAAAAAAAAGUGAGUCGUCUUAAUGGCAUGGUUACAUUCUGACAAAUAUGAACAUCCUCAAAUUGACUAAUGAUAUUCUGAGGCAUACCUGAUUAUGGCUAUAUAUUCCUUUUUCUCUUAGCUGGUUAUAGAGUGGGUGGCAAUUCCCCAUUUCACUUGACUAACAAUAUGUAUAACCUUUUUCUCUUAGUUGGUUAUAGAGUGGGUGGCAAUUCCCGAUUUCACUUGACUACCAUUUCUUCUUGUUCAUUCAAAUUUUGAAAUGCUUAUGAGUAUUUAGAACCUUCAUCAACGGUUUCUAAAAUUCAUUCUUUUCCUGAUAUUGGUACAAAAUUUCUGUCUACUAGUAGUAUAGCACCUAUUUUGUCAAAUGCUUGAAAUAGGUUUCAGAUUUAAUCCUUGGGAACCAGUGCAUACUAUUGUAAAUAUGUAGUAUGUAAGAUAAGUGACAUAUAUAGUAUAAUUAUUUCAUUUUGAUAAUGUGAGUGGUAUAUAUGAUACUAUUAUGUAUAAAUGAAAUGAGUGCUGAUAUAUAUAUAUAUAUAUAUAUAUAUAUAUAUAUAUAUAUAUAUAUAUAUAUAUAUAUAUAUNCUGUCAAAAUAAAUUUUGUCCACCGUCAAUACAAACACACACUUAAAAUUGGUUAUGAGAAUUGUGUUUUUACUUUUUACAUAGCACUGGUUUGAGAUUAGAUGUUUUUUUUUUGCUUGGGUAUAUUUCAUUUCUGUUAUUUCCCUUCUGUUGUAAGGAGUCAAUCUCCAUAUUUCCUAAAGAAAUCUUAGUUCCUAUUUUCUAAUUGACAUUCAAGAAUCACUGUUUGAGCUCUUUUAUUUAGUCCUAAUUGGGGUAAUAUUGUAAAACAUAUUUCUAGCUGUUUAGUUGUAUAUAACUUUUUAAUACCUUAAUGCAGAUGUUUGAAGUUCAUCUUGAUAAUCCAGAAGUGCUCCUACGGUAUUCAUCUGCCCUGGUUCAAGGUGCCACAAAUGUUUUCUGGUAUGAAUACAGGCUGUUAUAAAGUAAAAUGUUAAUUAAUUGGAUAUAACUUGCAAAAAGACCAGGCAGAUUUGGAUUGGCUGGCAUUUAUAAGUUAAAAUUAUAUUCACUUUGAAAAACCAUGCUCUGAAAAGAUAUGAACUUCAUUUCAUGCUCCACUCCACUCCUAAAUGGAAAUAAGAAGAAUAUGUGUGAACUCUCUUUAUCAUCUUUCUUUUAAAAACAAUAUUUGCUUGCAUUACAUGAUUUUAUCAAUAGUCUUUCUAUGCCAAAUCAAUAGCAAUCCGUUUGACCUUAUCCUAAUCCAUUAAAAACAAAACAGAAAGUAAUUGAAAAUUUGGAAAAUGUUAGUAAGAGUGUCUUCAUGGGCUAAAACCUCUACUAUGAUAGAGUUGAUAUUGUACCAUAUUUGGAAAAUCAAUUUGAGAAUUGCAAUAGUCAUUUUUGGUGCCAUGUACAGGAUUGACAUUCAGACAAAUACAAAGCGUUUCCGGUCUAUAUUCCGUGUAAGGGUUCUAGUUGGAUCCUAUAUUUAUUUUAACUAUUAUGUAUCAUCUGAAUAAUAUUAUAAUCAUUGUUUCUUUUCCCAAUUCUUUUGCAUAUUCCUUGUGUUUCCCUCAAAUUCAGUACCUCUUGGAUGAUGAUGCAUUACACCACAGUAGAUUGAAUAAAAUUCCUCUCCAGGUAUACCAUAUCAGUUUUAGUUUUUGGCAUUUUAUAAAUGCUGCCUACAAUUUUUUAUAGGACCUUUAGCUAGUCUACUUUUGUUGCUGGCAAUGGCAUUCUGAAAUUUUUUACUUUUCAUUGAACUAUCAGGCUCAGCGAGAUAUGUAUCUUUUGCUCUCAAGGUUCAUUCUAUUUUACAAUUCAGGUAGCCAUUCAGAGAAGUUAUUAGCCUAUAAAUAAUAAUGCAAUAGUCUCUAAAUCUAAUAUUGCCCUCUUUGCAGCUGGCAAAAUCGAUAGCUUCUUGAAACAAUGUCCUGUUUUUCAAACUGCCUUCUUAGUUGGCAGUCCGGCAGAUAUAUUUGUGAAUGAACUCACGGAUCAGGUACAUCUGAAUCACCUUUUUUCACAAUUGAAAACCAUAUCCUCUGUUUCAUAUAAAGAAAUUAUGUUACCUACACUUAAUUGUUGCUGUUGAUUUUUUUAACAGCUUCAAAAGCUUAAGGUGGAACCUGUACUGCUGCAUUAUCUUUCAUAAAUCAAGGUCCUUCAGGGUACUAAACCAACCAUUCAGGUUCAAUAGUUGGACAUGGAAUAUUCUUCUCUCAACCUGACUCAGCUAAGUCAUUCUUUUGUUUAUGUUAAUGGCACAGGUAUGGAAUUGAGAAUGACGACAAGUACGAGAUUGAAAACAUGUUUGUAUAGUUUUACUUCUCCUGGUGGUCCAAUGUACCCGACCAGAGCUGUUCGUCAUGCUGCAUGGGAAGCACUAGAUUUUCUUUUUCCGGUUAGUCUUAUUAUUAAUAAUUAAAGCACUAGAGUUUCUUUUUCCGUUAGUAUUAUUAUUACUUAAUAAUUAGUAUUCAAACCAAAUUAUAACAAAUUGCAAGAGCUUUGUCCUCGCCGGCCCAAAAUGCCUUUUUUCACUUUAAAUAUUUUUAGGUCCCAUCAUUGUUAAAUACUUGACUUUUAUUAAAACCUUUUUAAGUUUUAUAGGUGGGAUUAUAUGACUAUUAAACUGUUUAAAUUUCCAAUAGAUGAAGGGAAACAUUAAUGGCUUUUUAAAAUGAUUUCAUAGAAUCUGCACACAGAUGAUGUGUUUUUCCCUUUUAGCUUUUUCAACUUAUUUCUGAAAGGGUGGAUUGUUUGUGUAUAUGCCGUAUAGUUCAUAGUUAAGAUAUCAAUAUAGCAUAUUGAUAAAUAAGUGUAAUAUCUUAACUCAUAAGCACGAGCUUCAUGCACGCACCAAGUACUAGUCCGAUAAAUAAAUAUUAAUGUUGAUUUUCUGCUAUGAUGCAGGUUGGGCAAUACCCUCGGCAUCUCAUAAGUCUGUUCUUCAGGUUGCUCUAUCCAUGGUAUUGGCCAUCCUCUUGUUGGAACUUUGUGGUUUCGUGCAUUCAUGCUAUCUUUUACUCCUUACUGAGGUUGAUAUUUUCUACGUGGGAAAAAAUUGCCAAACCAAAAACACAGUAAAUGUCCAUAUGUCCUGAAGAUAUUGGAGUUCAUGCAUAGAACCCGGGUCAUCUCUUGCCAACCAGCACGAAUGCCUUCUCUGAUAUUUCUUUUUUCCACUCAAUGUGAUGUACAUAUCAUUUUUUGAAUUAAUAUGUACAAUUUUUAUCAGAGAAGGCAUAUUAUUCAGGUUCAUUCGUUCAUAUCAUUUUUUGAAUUAAUAUGUACAAUUUCUAUAAAAAUGUGAAGCCUUUUUUUGAUUUGAACAUUUUCUCACUCGUCUUAAUGACUUUUUGUUGGCUUUCUUGUAGUGAGCUUAUUUACUUUUCAAUGCUUACAUUGAUAAUGUUUUGUGGAUUUUGUAGGAGGAAAACUUGGAAGAGGUCAUUGCACUUACUGUGAUAUAACUGUUAAAUUGUUUGUCUCACACAUAUCUUUCAGAUGCAAAGGAUAAUACUGACAUUAUGAAUUUUGUUACAGGCCCCGCCCAGGGAGCAAGCGUAUGUGACAUUUUCAUUGUAUUAGAUUGUGUUGAUCCUACUAUUGCUAGCAAUUUAAGGCAUCCCAUGAUGUACCAUUUUGCAGGGGGUUCCAUGAGAUAUAGAAAGUGAUGCAGGUCACCUUUGAUUUGGAAGCAUAAUCCAGUCUGCAUCCCAGCUCUUUCUCGUAUUAAGUUUCAUGCACUUCAUUAGAUUAAAUCACAUACGUUUGUGAUUCUGGUAGAUGGAAAGUGUUGUCAUUUUUUAAAAUUAUUUAGGUCGAAUGCCAGUAAUUUCCAAUGCAAUUUGUUUUUAAUUCAAGUCAUGAUGGUAACGUUUAUCGUAGGAAACAGAUUCUAUGCAUUUGAAGAUGUUGUUUUUUCUAUUAACAAAUGUUAAUAUGUUAGUUUUAUUAUGGUGUGGGUAGGACUAGAACCAUCAACCUCAACUCUCUCACUCCAUCCUCAAACCACCAAACCAAGUUUAUAUCUCUCUAUAUAAUGAUAUGGUCUAGUUUUGUCUUAGCAUUUAGGAGCUUUAAUCUACAUUCUAAUGUACAUAAUUUAUGGAGAUAUAUUAUUAUAUUUCUAUAUUGGCGGAGCUGUAGAGGUAGUAACUGCACAAACUCUCGGUACUUAAAUGAGUUAUUGAUAAUUUCAUACUGGACCGUAUGAAUUUAUUGAGGAACUUCACAGUUACUGAAUAUGAUUCCAUUUUGUAUGACUUCCAAAAUCAUAUUUUCUAAUUUGUACAAAUUUGCUUUAGUGGUUUUUCUUCAAUGAAGUUACAACAUAGCUACAGUUCAUUUAAAAUUAGCCAUCUUCUUCUUGUGUCGUCUAUAAGAAAAAUUGCACGGUUGACUUAAUAUAUCCUUGUUAUGGUUUUAUGGACAAUCUUUCUCGAUUAUUAUUAUUUGAUUGUGCAAUUGUGAAGUUGUUAUGAUCUGCUUGUGAUUAGUAUGUUCUUUUAUUUACCAAAAUUAUUUGAAUUCAUAACUAACUUGAUCGUCGGAGUUUUUGCAGGUACCACACCUUUGGUGUGUCAUGCUAUGCUCAUGAGUAUGAUGAAACAGAAAGGAAAUGCAACAUCUUAAAAACAUGGUAGGAAGUUUACCUUUGAUUUGAGCUGCUGGCCAUGCUUAACAGUCCGGUCUUCAACCGAGCUGAGUGAAUGAGAUUCAUUGACAUGGGGGGCCUUCUGAAACUUGAUUUUACUUAUAAAUGUCAUGUUUUUAUUGGUAAUGUAUCUUAUGUUUCAUGUUUCAUGAUAAGAUUUCAUUCACGAAUCGGAAAAUAGUUCUUUUGAUUUAGGAUUUGAAUCUCAAUUUGAUAAUCAUGCCAACAAUUGAAUGGAAUACAUAACAAUGGAAUUCACAACUAAUUAAUGUGUAUUUAAAUCUAAAUAAGGGGUGAUAACCUUUUUUUCUGCAUAGGGGGGAUGGGGAAUACAUGUCUUUUCUCUUUUUUAUUUGCAAAACAAAUUACCAAAUGUCGAUUUUCUUUAUUCACAAUGGCAGAUGUAAUUUUCAACAAGGAAGAAGAUGUCAUUUCUCCGGAAAAUGAUGUCAUUGAUGGUCCGCUGUGUUUCUAUGAUGUGCUUGCUGAUUACUUUGUACAUGUGCCUGAAAGUGGGAAGCCCGUCCUUGACUUGAUUGUCCAACUUUGGAGCCAGUCAUUUGCUUCACAUAUUUUUAGCCUCUUGUUUCACAAAUGGGUAUGUAAGCUUGUCUCUGCCAUAUUGUCUUUUGCUCUCUUGAGGGAAGUUUUACUUAGCUUGAUAGUAUUAGUAUGGUCAUCCAUUACUGGUUUUGAAUUUGAACAUUUACAAUUCUAAAAAAAAGUGAGUCGUCUUAAUGGCAUGGUUACAUUCUGACAAAUAUGAACAUCCUCAAAUUGACUAAUGAUAUUCUGAGGCAUACCUGAUUAUGGCUAUAUAUUCCUUUUUCUCUUAGCUGGUUAUAGAGUGGGUGGCAAUUCCCCAUUUCACUUGACUAACAAUAUGUAUAACCUUUUUCUCUUAGUUGGUUAUAGAGUGGGUGGCAAUUCCCGAUUUCACUUGACUACCAUUUCUUCUUGUUCAUUCAAAUUUUGAAAUGCUUAUGAGUAUUUAGAACCUUCAUCAACGGUUUCUAAAAUUCAUUCUUUUCCUGAUAUUGGUACAAAAUUUCUGUCUACUAGUAGUAUAGCACCUAUUUUGUCAAAUGCUUGAAAUAGGUUUCAGAUUUAAUCCUUGGGAACCAGUGCAUACUAUUGUAAAUAUGUAGUAUGUAAGAUAAGUGACAUAUAUAGUAUAAUUAUUUCAUUUUGAUAAUGUGAGUGGUAUAUAUGAUACUAUUAUGUAUAAAUGAAAUGAGUGCUGAUAUAUAUAUAUAUAUAUAUAUAUAUAUAUAUAUAUAUAUAUAUAUAUAUAUAUUAGUUAAUCAUGGACUAAUGCAUAUUACUAGUAUGUUUGGUUUGGCUUUUGGAACAGCUAGAAUCAAUUCUAGAGGUGUAGAAUUGAUUAUGGAGUGAUUUUGAGGUGUUUGGUUCUAAAGUAGAAUUGAUUUUACCUCCAGAAUUGAUUCUACUUGAAGCUAGAAUUUGUAGCUUCUGAGUUUAAACACGAUUUUUACACUGAAAUUUGUUGUUCAACUCACUUUUACAUAAACGUAUCCAAACAUAAAUCAAAUUAUGUUAAACUUCUAUUAAAAUCAAUUAUACUAAACUCAUUUCUGUCAAAAUAAAUUUUGUCCACCGUCAAUACAAACACACACUUAAAAUUGGUUAUGAGAAUUGUGUUUUUACUUUUUACAUAGCACUGGUUUGAGAUUAGAUGUUUUUUUUUUGCUUGGGUAUAUUUCAUUUCUGUUAUUUCCCUUCUGUUGUAAGGAGUCAAUCUCCAUAUUUCCUAAAGAAAUCUUAGUUCCUAUUUUCUAAUUGACAUUCAAGAAUCACUGUUUGAGCUCUUUUAUUUAGUCCUAAUUGGGGUAAUAUUGUAAAACAUAUUUCUAGCUGUUUAGUUGUAUAUAACUUUUUAAUACCUUAAUGCAGAUGUUUGAAGUUCAUCUUGAUAAUCCAGAAGUGCUCCUACGGUAUUCAUCUGCCCUGGUUCAAGGUGCCACAAAUGUUUUCUGGUAUGAAUACAGGCUGUUAUAAAGUAAAAUGUUAAUUAAUUGGAUAUAACUUGCAAAAAGACCAGGCAGAUUUGGAUUGGCUGGCAUUUAUAAGUUAAAAUUAUAUUCACUUUGAAAAACCAUGCUCUGAAAAGAUAUGAACUUCAUUUCAUGCUCCACUCCACUCCUAAAUGGAAAUAAGAAGAAUAUGUGUGAACUCUCUUUAUCAUCUUUCUUUUAAAAACAAUAUUUGCUUGCAUUACAUGAUUUUAUCAAUAGUCUUUCUAUGCCAAAUCAAUAGCAAUCCGUUUGACCUUAUCCUAAUCCAUUAAAAACAAAACAGAAAGUAAUUGAAAAUUUGGAAAAUGUUAGUAAGAGUGUCUUCAUGGGCUAAAACCUCUACUAUGAUAGAGUUGAUAUUGUACCAUAUUUGGAAAAUCAAUUUGAGAAUUGCAAUAGUCAUUUUUGGUGCCAUGUACAGGAUUGACAUUCAGACAAAUACAAAGCGUUUCCGGUCUAUAUUCCGUGUAAGGGUUCUAGUUGGAUCCUAUAUUUAUUUUAACUAUUAUGUAUCAUCUGAAUAAUAUUAUAAUCAUUGUUUCUUUUCCCAAUUCUUUUGCAUAUUCCUUGUGUUUCCCUCAAAUUCAGUACCUCUUGGAUGAUGAUGCAUUACACCACAGUAGAUUGAAUAAAAUUCCUCUCCAGGUAUACCAUAUCAGUUUUAGUUUUUGGCAUUUUAUAAAUGCUGCCUACAAUUUUUUAUAGGACCUUUAGCUAGUCUACUUUUGUUGCUGGCAAUGGCAUUCUGAAAUUUUUUACUUUUCAUUGAACUAUCAGGCUCAGCGAGAUAUGUAUCUUUUGCUCUCAAGGUUCAUUCUAUUUUACAAUUCAGGUAGCCAUUCAGAGAAGUUAUUAGCCUAUAAAUAAUAAUGCAAUAGUCUCUAAAUCUAAUAUUGCCCUCUUUGCAGCUGGCAAAAUCGAUAGCUUCUUGAAACAAUGUCCUGUUUUUCAAACUGCCUUCUUAGUUGGCAGUCCGGCAGAUAUAUUUGUGAAUGAACUCACGGAUCAGGUACAUCUGAAUCACCUUUUUUCACAAUUGAAAACCAUAUCCUCUGUUUCAUAUAAAGAAAUUAUGUUACCUACACUUAAUUGUUGCUGUUGAUUUUUUUAACAGCUUCAAAAGCUUAAGGUGGAACCUGUACUGCUGCAUUAUCUUUCAGAAGUCAAGGUCCUUCAGGGUACUAAACCAACCAUUCAGGUGCAAUAGUUGGACAUGGAAUAUUCUUCUCUCAACCUGACUCAGCUAAGUCAUUCUUUUGUUUAUGUUAAUGGCACAGGUAUCGAAUUGAGAAUGACGACAAGUACGAGAUUGAAAACAUGUUUGUAUGGUUUUACUUCUCCUGGUGGUCCAAUGUACCCGACCAGAGCUGUUCGUCAUGCUGCAUGGGAAGCACUAGAUUUUCUUUUUCCGAUAAGUAUUAUUAUUAAUAAUUAAAGCACUAGAGUUUCUUUUUCCGUUAGUAUUAUUAUUACUUAAUAAUUAGUAUUCAAACCAAAUUAUAACAAAUUGCAAGAGCUUUGUCCUCGCCGGCCCAAAAUGCCUUUAUAAUAAUUAGUAUUCAAACCAAAUUAUAACAAAUUGCAAGAGCUUUGUCCUCGCCGGCCCAAAAUGCCUUUUUUCACUUUAAAUAUUUUUAGGUCCCAUCAUUGUUAAAUACUUGACUUUUAUUAAAGCCUUUUUAAGUUUUAUAGGUGGGAUUAUAUGACUAUUAAACUGUUUAAAUUUCCAAUAGAUGAAGGGAAACAUUAAUGGCUUUUUAAAAUGAUUUCAUAGAAUCUGCACACAGAUGAUGUGUUUUUCCCUUUUAGCUUUUUCAACUUAUUUCUGAAAGGCUGGAUUAAUUGUGUAUAUGCCGUAUAGUCAUAGUUAAGAUAUCAAUAUAGCAUAUUGAUAAAUAAGUGUAAUAUCUUAACUCAUAAGCAAGAGCUUCAUGCACGCACCAAGUACUAGUCCGAUAAAUGAAUAUUAAUGUUGAUUUUCUGCUAUGAUGCAGGUUGGGCAAUACCCUCGGCAUCUCAUAAGUCUGUUCUUCAGGUUGCUCUAUCCAUGGUAUUGGCCAUCCUCUUGUUGGAACUUUGUGGUUUCGUGCAUUCAUGCUAUCUUUUACUCCUUACUGAGGUUGAUAUUUUCUACGUGGGAAAAAAUUGCCAAACCAAAAACACAGUAAAUGUCCAUAUGUCCUGAAGAUAUUGGAGUUCAUGCAUAGAACCCGGGUCAUCUCUUGCCAACCAGCACGAAUGCCUUCUCUGAUAUUUCUUUUUUCCACUCAAUGUGAUGUACAUAUCAUUUUUUGAAUUAAUAUGUACAAUUUUUAUCAGAGAAGGCAUAUUAUUCAGGUUCAUUCGUUCAUAUCAUUUUUUGAAUUAAUAUGUACAAUUUCUAUAAAAAUGUGAAGCCUUUUUUUGAUUUGAACAUUUUCUCACUCGUCUUAAUGACUUUUUGUUGGCUUUCUUGUAGUGAGCUUAUUUACUUUUCAAUGCUUACAUUGAUAAUGUUUUGUGGAUUUUGUAGGAGGAAAACUUGGAAGAGGUCAUUGCACUUACUGUGAUAUAACUGUUAAAUUGUUUGUCUCACACAUAUCUUUCAGAUGCAAAGGAUAAUACUGACAUUAUGAAUUUUGUUACAGGCCCCGCCCAGGGAGCAAGCGUAUGUGACAUUUUCAUUGUAUUAGAUUGUGUUGAUCCUACUAUUGCUAGCAAUUUAAGGCAUCCCAUGAUGUACCAUUUUGCAGGGGGUUCCAUGAGAUAUAGAAAGUGAUGCAGGUCACCUUUGAUUUGGAAGCAUAAUCCAGUCUGCAUCCCAGCUCUUUCUCGUAUUAAGUUUCAUGCACUUCAUUAGAUUAAAUCACAUACGUUUGUGAUUCUGGUAGAUGGAAAGUGUUGUCAUUUUUUAAAAUUAUUUAGGUCGAAUGCCAGUAAUUUCCAAUGCAAUUUGUUUUUAAUUCAAGUCAUGAUGGUAACGUUUAUCGUAGGAAACAGAUUCUAUGCAUUUGAAGAUGUUGUUUUUUCUAUUAACAAAUGUUAAUAUGUUAGUUUUAUUAUGGUGUGGGUAGGACUAGAACCAUCAACCUCAACUCUCUCACUCCAUCCUCAAACCACCAAACCAAGUUUAUAUCUCUCUAUAUAAUGAUAUGGUCUAGUUUUGUCUUAGCAUUUAGGAGCUUUAAUCUACAUUCUAAUGUACAUAAUUUAUGGAGAUAUAUUAUUAUAUUUCUAUAUUGGCGGAGCUGUAGAGGUAGUAACUGCACAAACUCUCGGUACUUAAAUGAGUUAUUGAUAAUUUCAUACUGGACCGUAUGAAUUUAUUGAGGAACUUCACAGUUACUGAAUAUGAUUCCAUUUUGUAUGACUUCCAAAAUCAUAUUUUCUAAUUUGUACAAAUUUGCUUUAGUGGUUUUUCUUCAAUGAAGUUACAACAUAGCUACAGUUCAUUUAAAAUUAGCCAUCUUCUUCUUGUGUCGUCUAUAAGAAAAAUUGCACGGUUGACUUAAUAUAUCCUUGUUAUGGUUUUAUGGACAAUCUUUCUCGAUUAUUAUUAUUUGAUUGUGCAAUUGUGAAGUUGUUAUGAUCUGCUUGUGAUUAGUAUGUUCUUUUAUUUACCAAAAUUAUUUGAAUUCAUAACUAACUUGAUCGUCGGAGNUAAUAAUUAGUAUUCAAACCAAAUUAUAACAAAUUGCAAGAGCUUUGUCCUCGCCGGCCCAAAAUGCCUUUUUUCACUUUAAAUAUUUUUAGGUCCCAUCAUUGUUAAAUACUUGACUUUUAUUAAAACCUUUUUAAGUUUUAUAGGUGGGAUUAUAUGACUAUUAAACUGUUUAAAUUUCCAAUAGAUGAAGGGAAACAUUAAUGGCUUUUUAAAAUGAUUUCAUAGAAUCUGCACACAGAUGAUGUGUUUUUCCCUUUUAGCUUUUUCAACUUAUUUCUGAAAGGGUGGAUUGUUUGUGUAUAUGCCGUAUAGUUCAUAGUUAAGAUAUCAAUAUAGCAUAUUGAUAAAUAAGUGUAAUAUCUUAACUCAUAAGCACGAGCUUCAUGCACGCACCAAGUACUAGUCCGAUAAAUAAAUAUUAAUGUUGAUUUUCUGCUAUGAUGCAGGUUGGGCAAUACCCUCGGCAUCUCAUAAGUCUGUUCUUCAGGUUGCUCUAUCCAUGGUAUUGGCCAUCCUCUUGUUGGAACUUUGUGGUUUCGUGCAUUCAUGCUAUCUUUUACUCCUUACUGAGGUUGAUAUUUUCUACGUGGGAAAAAAUUGCCAAACCAAAAACACAGUAAAUGUCCAUAUGUCCUGAAGAUAUUGGAGUUCAUGCAUAGAACCCGGGUCAUCUCUUGCCAACCAGCACGAAUGCCUUCUCUGAUAUUUCUUUUUUCCACUCAAUGUGAUGUACAUAUCAUUUUUUGAAUUAAUAUGUACAAUUUUUAUCAGAGAAGGCAUAUUAUUCAGGUUCAUUCGUUCAUAUCAUUUUUUGAAUUAAUAUGUACAAUUUCUAUAAAAAUGUGAAGCCUUUUUUUGAUUUGAACAUUUUCUCACUCGUCUUAAUGACUUUUUGUUGGCUUUCUUGUAGUGAGCUUAUUUACUUUUCAAUGCUUACAUUGAUAAUGUUUUGUGGAUUUUGUAGGAGGAAAACUUGGAAGAGGUCAUUGCACUUACUGUGAUAUAACUGUUAAAUUGUUUGUCUCACACAUAUCUUUCAGAUGCAAAGGAUAAUACUGACAUUAUGAAUUUUGUUACAGGCCCCGCCCAGGGAGCAAGCGUAUGUGACAUUUUCAUUGUAUUAGAUUGUGUUGAUCCUACUAUUGCUAGCAAUUUAAGGCAUCCCAUGAUGUACCAUUUUGCAGGGGGUUCCAUGAGAUAUAGAAAGUGAUGCAGGUCACCUUUGAUUUGGAAGCAUAAUCCAGUCUGCAUCCCAGCUCUUUCUCGUAUUAAGUUUCAUGCACUUCAUUAGAUUAAAUCACAUACGUUUGUGAUUCUGGUAGAUGGAAAGUGUUGUCAUUUUUUAAAAUUAUUUAGGUCGAAUGCCAGUAAUUUCCAAUGCAAUUUGUUUUUAAUUCAAGUCAUGAUGGUAACGUUUAUCGUAGGAAACAGAUUCUAUGCAUUUGAAGAUGUUGUUUUUUCUAUUAACAAAUGUUAAUAUGUUAGUUUUAUUAUGGUGUGGGUAGGACUAGAACCAUCAACCUCAACUCUCUCACUCCAUCCUCAAACCACCAAACCAAGUUUAUAUCUCUCUAUAUAAUGAUAUGGUCUAGUUUUGUCUUAGCAUUUAGGAGCUUUAAUCUACAUUCUAAUGUACAUAAUUUAUGGAGAUAUAUUAUUAUAUUUCUAUAUUGGCGGAGCUGUAGAGGUAGUAACUGCACAAACUCUCGGUACUUAAAUGAGUUAUUGAUAAUUUCAUACUGGACCGUAUGAAUUUAUUGAGGAACUUCACAGUUACUGAAUAUGAUUCCAUUUUGUAUGACUUCCAAAAUCAUAUUUUCUAAUUUGUACAAAUUUGCUUUAGUGGUUUUUCUUCAAUGAAGUUACAACAUAGCUACAGUUCAUUUAAAAUUAGCCAUCUUCUUCUUGUGUCGUCUAUAAGAAAAAUUGCACGGUUGACUUAAUAUAUCCUUGUUAUGGUUUUAUGGACAAUCUUUCUCGAUUAUUAUUAUUUGAUUGUGCAAUUGUGAAGUUGUUAUGAUCUGCUUGUGAUUAGUAUGUUCUUUUAUUUACCAAAAUUAUUUGAAUUCAUAACUAACUUGAUCGUCGGAGUUUUUGCAGGUACCACACCUUUGGUGUGUCAUGCUAUGCUCAUGAGUAUGAUGAAACAGAAAGGAAAUGCAACAUCUUAAAAACAUGGUAGGAAGUUUACCUUUGAUUUGAGCUGCUGGCCAUGCUUAACAGUCCGGUCUUCAACCGAGCUGAGUGAAUGAGAUUCAUUGACAUGGGGGGCCUUCUGAAACUUGAUUUUACUUAUAAAUGUCAUGUUUUUAUUGGUAAUGUAUCUUAUGUUUCAUGUUUCAUGAUAAGAUUUCAUUCACGAAUCGGAAAAUAGUUCUUUUGAUUUAGGAUUUGAAUCUCAAUUUGAUAAUCAUGCCAACAAUUGAAUGGAAUACAUAACAAUGGAAUUCACAACUAAUUAAUGUGUAUUUAAAUCUAAAUAAGGGGUGAUAACCUUUUUUUCUGCAUAGGGGGGAUGGGGAAUACAUGUCUUUUCUCUUUUUUAUUUGCAAAACAAAUUACCAAAUGUCGAUUUUCUUUAUUCACAAUGGCAGAUGUAAUUUUCAACAAGGAAGAAGAUGUCAUUUCUCCGGAAAAUGAUGUCAUUGAUGGUCCGCUGUGUUUCUAUGAUGUGCUUGCUGAUUACUUUGUACAUGUGCCUGAAAGUGGGAAGCCCGUCCUUGACUUGAUUGUCCAACUUUGGAGCCAGUCAUUUGCUUCACAUAUUUUUAGCCUCUUGUUUCACAAAUGGGUAUGUAAGCUUGUCUCUGCC
Molecule: long non-coding RNA, 14006 nt
Filed under: Lathyrus oleraceus (garden pea)
Lineage: Eukaryota; Viridiplantae; Streptophyta; Magnoliopsida; Fabales; Fabaceae
Description: Pisum sativum (pea) long non-coding RNA (PSAT_LNC031879)
Source: RNAcentral